UUCUCGUGCUGAUAUAUUUCACAGGUCUCUUCCUGGGAGUAGCUCUAACAGUAUGGUUUCGGGGCUGUGACCCGACGUUGCUGGGAGAAAUUUCCAGCAUAGACCAAAUUGUGCCUUAUUAUAUCAACACAUACCUGAUGGACGUUCCUGGAUUUUCUGGAUUAUUUCUCGCUGGUAUCGUGAGCGCUGCAACAAGUACAGUGUCCUCGACAGUGAAUUCCCAAGCUGCUAUUUUGUACGUGGAUGUCAUUGCACAUCGAUGGAAAAAUGCUGAGAACCACGUGCUGUGGAUUACGCGUG
Long non-coding RNA from Dermacentor andersoni, 300 nucleotides. RefSeq lists it as uncharacterized. The record is from RefSeq and is a predicted model, not a curated record. NCBI's taxonomy places the organism in Eukaryota, Metazoa, Arthropoda, Arachnida, Ixodida, Ixodidae.